CUGACCUUGACAUCCCGGUGACCGCUCCGUAAUGGGAGUUUUCCUACGGGACACUGGAGACAGGUGGUGCAUGGUUGUCGUCAGCUCGUGUCGUGAGAUGUUGGGUUAAGUCCCGCAACGAGCGCAACCCCUAUCUUUAGUAGCCAGCAUUUAAGGUGGGCACUCUAAAGAGACUGCCAGGGACAACCUGGAGGAAGGUGGGGAUGACGUCAAAUCAUCAUGCCCCUUAUGGCCAGGGCUACACACGUGCUACAAUGGCGUAAACAAAGGGAAGCGAGACCGCGAGGUGGAGCAAAUCCCAGAAAUAACGUCCCAGUUCGGAUUGUAGUCUGCAACCCGACUACAUGAAGCUGGAAUCGCUAGUAAUCGCGAAUCAGAAUGUCGCGGUGAAUACGUUCCC
Molecule: ribosomal RNA, 400 nt
Filed under: uncultured bacterium
Lineage: Bacteria
Description: bacterial SSU rRNA
Rfam family: Bacterial small subunit ribosomal RNA
Source: RNAcentral